AUUGAACGCUGGCGGCAUGCUUUACACAUGCAAGUCGUACGGUAACAGGCCGCAAGGUGCUGACGAGUGGCGAACGGGUGAGUAAUGCAUCGGAACGUGCCCAGUCGUGGGGGAUAACGCAGCGAAAGCUGCGCUAAUACCGCAUACGAUCUAUGGAUGAAAGCGGGGGACCGUAAGGCCUCGCGCGAUUGGAGCGGCCGAUGUCAGAUUAGGUAGUUGGUGGGGUAAAGGCUCACCAAGCCAACGAUCUGUAGCUGGUCUGAGAGGACGGCCAGCCACACUGGGACUGAGACACGGCCCAGACUCCUACGGGAGGCAGCAGUGGGGAAUUUUGGACAAUGGGCGCAAGCCUGAUCCAGCAAUGCCGCGUGCAGGAAGAAGGCCUUCGGGUUGUAAACUGCUUUUGUACGGAACGAAACGGUCCUGGUUAAUACCCGGGGCUAAUGACGGUACCGUAAGAAUAAGCACCGGCUAACUACGUGCCAGCCGCCGCUGUAA
RNAcentral lists this ribosomal RNA (498 nucleotides) under uncultured bacterium. Its description in RNAcentral is "partial 16S ribosomal RNA". It matches the Rfam family "Bacterial small subunit ribosomal RNA", at positions 30 to 523 of the family's 1533-position model. The record is from RNAcentral.